AGCGGGCUGAGCAGCUGCGCAGGAGCGAUCCUGUGAGGAAAGUCCGAGCAUCACAGGGCAGGAUAACGGCUAACGGCCGCCGGGGGUGACCCUAGGGAAAGUGCAACAGAGAUAUACCGCCGCUUUUGCGGGCUUUGGCAUACCGCCAUUGAAUGCGCCUUUUGGCGCUGCCCCGCUGCGGUAAGGGUGGAAAGGCGAGGUAAGAGCUCACCGGCGCACCGGAGACGGUGCGGCCCUGCAAACCCUAUCCGAUGCAACGCCGACAGAAGCGACACAUUGGCCCGAUGUGCUUCGACGGGCGGCUAGAGCCGGUUGGCAACAGCCGGUCGAGAUAGAUAGCUGUUCACGACAGAACUCGGCUUACAGGUCCGCUCCC
RNAcentral lists this RNase P RNA (376 nucleotides) under human gut metagenome. RNAcentral's name for it is "Bacterial RNase P class A". It matches the Rfam family "Bacterial RNase P class A". Rfam says of the family: Ribonuclease P (RNase P) is a ubiquitous endoribonuclease, found in archaea, bacteria and eukarya as well as chloroplasts and mitochondria. Its best characterised activity is the generation of mature 5'-ends of tRNAs by cleaving the 5'-leader elements of precursor-tRNAs. Cellular RNase Ps are ribonucleoproteins. The record is from RNAcentral.